This 351-nucleotide ribosomal RNA is filed under the name uncultured bacterium. RNAcentral's name for it is "bacterial SSU rRNA". It matches the Rfam family "Bacterial small subunit ribosomal RNA", at positions 8 to 349 of the family's 1533-position model. The record is from RNAcentral.
AGAGUUUGAUCCUGGCUCAGGAUGAACGCUAGCUACAGGCUUAACACAUGCAAGUCGAGGGGCAUCAGUUUGGUUUGCUUGCAAACCAAAGCUGGCGACCGGCGCACGGGUGAGUAACACGUAUCCAACCUGCCUCAUACUCGGGGAUAGCCUUUCGAAAGAAAGAUUAAUAUCCGAUAGCAUAUAUUUCCCGCAUGGGUUUUAUAUUAAAGAAAUUCGGUAUGAGAUGGGGAUGCGUUCCAUUAGUUGUUGGCGGGGUAACGGCCACCAAGACUACGAUGGAUAGGGGUUCUGAGAGGGAAGGUCCCCCANAUUGGAACCUGAGACACGGUCCAAACUCCUACGGGAGCA